GGCGGCGUGCUUACACAUGCAAGUCGAGCGGAAAGGCCCUUCGGGGUACUCGAGCGGCGAACGGGUGAGUAACACGUGAGUAACCUGCCCCUGACUCUGGGAUAAGCCUGGGAAACUGGGUCUAAUACCGGAUAUGACACCCUUCCGCAUGGUGUGGGUGUGGAAAGUUUUUUCGGUCGGGGAUGGGCUCGCGGCCUAUCAGCUUGUUGGUGGGGUGAUGGCCUACCAAGGCGACGACGGGUAGCCGGCCUGAGAGGGCGACCGGCCACACUGGGACUGAGACACGGCCCAGACUCCUACGGGAGGCAGCAGUGGGGAAUAUUGCGCAAUGGGCGGAAGCCUGACGCAGCGACGCCGCGUGGGGGAUGACGGCCUUCGGGUUGUAAACCUCUUUCAGCAGGGACGAAGUUGACGUGUACCUGUAGAAGAAGCGCCGGCUAACUACGUGCCAGCAGCCGCGGUAAUACGUAGGGCGCGAGCGUUGUCCGGAAUUAUUGGGCGUAAAGAGCUCGUAGGUGGCUUGUCGCGUCUGCCGUGAAAGCCCGUGGCUUAACUACGGGUCUGCGGUGGAUACGGGCAGGCUAGAGGCUGGUAGGGGCAAGCGGAAUUCCUGGUGUAGCGGUGAAAUGCGCAGAUAUCAGGAGGAACACCGGUGGCGAAGGCGGCUUGCUGGGCCAGUUCUGACGCUGAGGAGCGAACG
Molecule: ribosomal RNA, 700 nt
Filed under: Microbispora sp. TF5
Lineage: Bacteria; Bacillati; Actinomycetota; Actinomycetes; Streptosporangiales; Streptosporangiaceae
Description: bacterial SSU rRNA
Rfam family: Bacterial small subunit ribosomal RNA
Source: RNAcentral